RNAcentral lists this unclassified non-coding RNA (748 nucleotides) under Hevea brasiliensis (rubber tree). The record is from RNAcentral. Lineage: Eukaryota; Viridiplantae; Streptophyta; Magnoliopsida; Malpighiales; Euphorbiaceae.
UUAACUACAAGACUCCCUUUCAUCACAAGAAUUGGUUCACAUUAAAACAACAUCCUGAUAAGCAAAUGCUAAGCAGAGAUGGACAGUAUUCCACAUGUACUCAAAAAACUGCAGAAAGUCAAAACUACUAUGCAUAGGUAGUUGAACUGAUGACCUAUUUUACAACAGUUGUUCAUGAAGACCGAAAAACAAUUCUUAAUCUAAAACUUAUAGAAGAAGAUCAGCUUGUAUCAGGGUUUCGAACAAAAUGUGACUAGACUUGCAGCUUUUCCUCAAGGAAGCUUCUACAUCCAUCCAUCUAUGAACUUUCGUGUCUCACCCAAGAAUCAUCAUCCAGAUACAAACUUUACAACAAUACAGAGUGUGUUGAGGAGUAUGAGAAGAACUCUCAGAUAUUGAGUUGCAUAAAUAAGACCAAGUAGCUGGCCCUUGAAUGAAUUUCUCCGCACCCCUGAAUAUUCCUGGAAGCUCCAUCCUCUCGGAGCAAGGAAACGGUCUUCGUUCAAUAUUGCAAGUGCAUUUGCAAGAAGCAGGCAGCCCUCGAGCAAUGUCCACAAACCCAUGCCCUGACGACGAGGAAGACGAACGAUCGGCGGCAGGUGGCAGGCGUCAACCGGCGGCAGCAGACGGAAACUCUCAGUGAAAUAUGAAUAGACUUGAUUUGGAACCCAGAUCUGCAAUCUGAACAAUACGUAUACUUUCACUAAAGAGGCAGAGGCAAAGGCAAAGGCAAAGGGCUAAGUUUCAU